Molecule: long non-coding RNA, 1038 nt
Organism: Argiope bruennichi
Lineage: Eukaryota; Metazoa; Arthropoda; Arachnida; Araneae; Araneidae
Exons: 3
Source: RefSeq, a predicted model, not a curated record
GUUGUCAAGAGGUGGGCCCAUCUAGGAUUUUUCCAAUGAAAACAUUGUGUAUCGUCGUGUUCUUAAAACGUUUACGAACAGUUAGAUAUCUUACCGUGCUAAAUCUAAAAUAAAAUGAAGGAGAAAGGCGUAAUUAUCCAAUUUCACUGUUUUUAUGAAAAAUUAAACUAUUUGUUUCCAGGAUAAUCGGUAAAAGUUUACAAUUGGGUGCCCUCUCGAUUUUUUGGACGCCACAAGGGUUUUCGAUCUGGUGUUUACUGAUACAUUACUGAAAAGAUUGCAUUUAAAAGCUGUAUGUGAAAGAAUGCAACCACCGAAUCAUUUGUUGAAUUCCAAGAUUGUGUUGUCGCAAACGUAAUGACAUGCUAAUGAGAAAAGCUGAUAAAUCCUCACAUCUCUCGGAAUAAAAGUGGCAACAAUAAGAAAGGCUUGACUUACCAAAGACACUAUCCCAACUUCAACAUGCAGCAUAUCUUGAUGGAAUCGGGAAUCAUGAAAUAAUAAAUUCCCCAAUGCAUGUUUAGAAAUUUUUAAUCACGCUUUAAUUUUUAUUACUGUAUGUUACUCACAUACAAAAAAAAGAGGAAUUUUAUUCUUAUGACCCAUGUUAUAAAACAAAAAUUACAUUCAAAAGAUUCCAUACUGAUUCACAUAAUGAAGUAAUUUCAUUUUUGUCAUUUACAGACAAAGGAAUUAAAUUGUAUUCGUCGUGAAUAUUUUAUUGACAAACUGGAAUUAAAGUGACAUGCAGAAAGAAUAGUUUUGAGUUAAUUUUCUCAUUCCCACUUAAUGUAGAAACUAUAUGCUUGCAAAUUUUGUGAUAUUUCCUCAGCUUCCGAAUUAAAAAAAAAAUAUUUGCUGAUUCAUACUAAAAAGAAACCACAUACAUGUGACGCGUGUUGUAAAGCAUAUUUUCAACGGUCACAUUUAAAAAAUCAUUUGAUGUUGCAUACGAAUAAGGAAUCCUACGCUUGCAGCUGUUGCAACAAAAUCUAUUCUAUUAUUUUCAAUUUAUAAAGACAUUUACGGACGCAUACA